Molecule: ribosomal RNA, 1782 nt
Filed under: Triticum aestivum (bread wheat)
Lineage: Eukaryota; Viridiplantae; Streptophyta; Magnoliopsida; Poales; Poaceae
Description: partial small subunit ribosomal RNA
Source: RNAcentral
AUGGAAGGCCGAGUUCCUUUCAGAGAUAUUACAAAUGUUCACUCGACGACUUCACCAAAAGGGAAUCAACUAGCUGUGGUUGCAGAGCAGAAUGAUCCUUUAGCAGAAACCAAAAACGCUAUGCAAAUGAAUUCUUCCCAGCGUAAGCUUUACCACGACCGGGAUAGGUAUUUGCAAAUGACUCCAUAUCAGAGGGAAGCCUAUCUGCAAAGGAAUCGUGAGUAUAAAAGAAUGCGGCGUGAGUGCAGUGCAAGUUGUAACAACACACAACCAGCACCACAACAGAAAAUUUUGAGAGCUACUAAUAAUAACCAAUACAUGACAGGAGAGGAAGUCAUGGCCAUUUCAAACUAUGAGAGGCACGAUUCAGUUUUUACUCAGCUAGGGUCUUCAUCAAAAGUGGCAGAAAAUGGUGGUUUUGAGACAAGCCGUCCAAAAGCUGGAACUCGGUUCACUAUCAGUCCAUCUGGCAUAUAUUUAUCAUCAAUAUCCUCGGAAGAACAAGCUGCAAAAUAUGAAUUGAAAAAUGUAGGUCAGCGUAAGCGGCAACAUUGCACCAAUGUGUACUCACAACUGUCACAUGACCAAGAAGAAACACACGUACAAGAGAUUUGUGGCCCUAAUAAAAGAAAGAGGUCAGAAAAAGAAAGUUGUAGUACCGCACGGGAUCCUGGUAGAAAUACCAACAACUUGCAUGAAGACAUCAUUUAUGUGCCCCAGGAUUAUUUUCCUGUCGUUCAUGAUUAUCUGGCAAAUACCAAAGACAACAUUGAGUGCGAUGAAGUGGACGAUGAAAGUCUUAUGUAUAAUGGACCAGGUCUUGACUUUGAAUCAUAUCAAGAACCAAAGCAUGUUACAAAAUGUAUACAAGCAGACCCAUAUGAUCGUAUAUAUCAUAAUGUGCCCAGUGGUCAUCAUUUUCUAGAGCGAGUGCCCAACUGUAGACAUUGUAAUGUGAAAAGGUUCCAAUAUGAGACACCAACUUUUUGUUGCAUGAAUGGAAAGGUGAAGAUAGUAACCCCAGUGGUUCCUGACGAUUUGCGUCAGUUGUACACGAGUCAGGAUCCAAAUGCAAAAUACUUCCAAGAUCAUAUACGGUACUUCAAUUCUCAUUUCUCUUUUACCUCUCUUGGUGUCAUCUUGGACCAAAGGUUCUGCAAUAGGAGGUCUGGAGUUUACACCUUUCAUGCACAGGGCCAAAUUUAUCACCGUAUUGACCAGUUGGUUCCAAAAGAAGAUGGCCCCAAGCAUUUACAGUUAUACUUCUAUGACACGGAUGCAGAUUUGCAACAAAGAUUUCUUCACUCGCCUAACUUAAACCAAAUUCUCAUCCGGAAGUUAGUAAAUAUACUUUCAAGUAACCCUUAUGUACAAAUAUUUAGACACCUUGGUUCUAUUCCAAACCUUGAUGAAUAUAUGAUUGAGCUCAAUACAGAUAUUGCCUUAGAUCAGAGAGUAUAUAAUGCUCCGACAACAUCACAAGUAGCAGCAAUCUGGGUCGAGGGAAAUAAUCCUCGAGGUCAUUUUGACAGGAGUAUCAUGGUGUAUGGUAAAUCGGACAAACCACAAUACAUAAAAGCAUAUCAUGGUUGCUAUGAUCCAUUGUCAUAUCCGCUUUUUUUCCCGAAAGGGGAAGUUGGAUGGAACUUGAAUUUACCAAAAGUUGGUCCCCAUGCUAGGAGGACGAGAAAUGAUCAAACAAAUGCUCUCAAUGAAGAAGGGAUGGAAAAGAGCCCUGGUUCUUGUGUGUCACCAAGAGAAUAUUAUUGUUAUAAGUUAUAA